Molecule: transfer RNA, 92 nt
Filed under: Ignavibacteriales bacterium
Lineage: Bacteria; Pseudomonadati; Ignavibacteriota; Ignavibacteria; Ignavibacteriales
Description: tRNA-OTHER
Source: RNAcentral
GGACGUAAGUUGUUUAUUAUUAAGGGCUUGCGGCAGUCUCGAAAACUGUUUUAGUCGUUAGGCUAACGGGGGUUCGAAUCCCCCCCUCUCCG